CAAUGAUGAGUUGCUUCACUUCAGAAGACUGUUCUUCCAUCAUUGAAGAUGGAUUUCUUGAUUUUGGUUGAUCCCAGUAGCACAGAGGAAUACCCUGCUUCGUGGCACGGAGCUGGUGUUUUCCACAAUGGUUUUACAGUUUAAUUAAGAAGUCUUCCAUCUUCAGCUCCAGAUUGCCUGAGUUUGUGUCUGAUUGAUGAAAGGCAGGAGUUUAAGUGCAGACUACUUCCCUACAGAGGCUCACAUCAGCAUCAGAAGGUUGUAUUAUUCUUAGUAUAUUUUAAACUUUAUAAAUCCAUGAUGGUUAGAAAAGAACUGUGCUUUUUUAAAAUAAAAAAAAAAAAAAUAUUAGUACUAUGAAAAGCAUCCUAAUUCUCUUCUGUAAUGUAUCUUCCCUGUAUUCCUUGCUGUCACUUUUUUCCCCUGAAUAUGAAAGUUUAAAAAAAUAUGAUUUUUACACAGGAGAAAGGGUGUUGUUAGAAGGACAAGUAAUUGUAGGUGGGGGUUAGAAGUUGUUUAUAAAUUAGCCCUUUAAAAAUAAAUGUACAUUUUCUUUUGUCAUUGGAAUAUGAAAGUCAGAUUCUCAUGUAGUCCUACAGAGUAAAAUGAAUGGCAGACUCCUUUGUAUUUGAAUUAGAAAGUGGGCUGUAGAUCUGGGUAUUCUUGGCAUUAUCUGGCUUCUUAAAGGUUACAGGCAUAUGGGCCUAGCGUUUCUUGUAGUGUUUUGAUUUUUCUGUUUGACAAUGUGAUAAGCUGAGGUAUGGAAGAGUCUGACAUAUCCGGGUCCCUGCAAACAUCUGGAUGGAGUAAGCAAAGCUAAUAUGGUUCACCAAAACUUGGCUCCCAUAUGUUAUAUCCUUCCACUUGUGUAUCAGGAUUUCAUCAUGGGGUCUGGAUUUGUUAAUCUCUGCAGGCAUCAAAUCUGUUCAUAACAAGUGGUUUUGAUUGACAUGUGAGCAGCUGUGAUUGAUAAACUGAAAGGAAAAACUGAAACGCAAACUGCUGACUGUUUCUCAGCAUUGUACCAGCUUGUUAUAACAGCAAAAUCUGCUUUUAAAAAAAUAAACAGGAGGAGCCUUACAAACUUCUGGUUCAGUGUUCUGUUUUGUUGCUGCCAUGGCCAAAAGUGAGAAAAAAAAAAAAAUAAAAAGGAAGAAAGA
This 1160-nucleotide long non-coding RNA is filed under the name Strigops habroptila (Kakapo). RNAcentral describes it as "lncRNA (ENSSHBG00005014610.1)". Lineage: Eukaryota; Metazoa; Chordata; Aves; Psittaciformes; Psittacidae. The record is from RNAcentral.